RNAcentral lists this transfer RNA (66 nucleotides) under Novacerus sp. FZ-2019. RNAcentral describes it as "tRNA-Leu". The record is from RNAcentral. Lineage: Eukaryota; Metazoa; Arthropoda; Collembola; Entomobryomorpha; Tomoceridae.
UCUAAUGUGGCAGAAAUUUAGUGCUAUGGAAUUAAGUACCAUUUAUAGAAUAAAAUCUCUUUAGAA